Non-coding RNA from Coturnix japonica (Japanese quail), 595 nucleotides. Lineage: Eukaryota; Metazoa; Chordata; Aves; Galliformes; Phasianidae. The record is from RefSeq and is a predicted model, not a curated record.
CUCCUAGUGCCCCCCAAGUCCUCUCGCUGUCAGGGCAGUAGGAAAAGCUUAGGAAGUGAAAUGUCCUUGUCUCUGCACAGCACUGCUCAACAACAACUGGAAACACCAACGUGUUAUCAACAUUGUUGUUACUCCUAAAGCCAAAAUUUAGCAUCGGAACACACACUGUGGAGAAACCAGGACAAAGAUCCACUACUACAUGGCUCAGGCAGUUGGGAGUUCCACCAAUAGAAAGCCUCCAACCGAGCAGCAGGGAGGGAAGGAAGAGCUGGGGCUCAGUCACUCAAACAGACCCACGUGCCCAUAUUGUUGCCCUCAAAACCUCACUGCCUGCUAUGCCACUGCUGAGAUCAUUUGCCAGAAAAGCUCUUCUGCACCAAACUAAUUGCAUAAUGUCAUAUCCAUAGCAGAGGAAGUCCCCACAGCAGGUUGACGCUAUUAAAGUAGUGAUACUUUCAUAACAAGUAGACAUGUGCAGAAAGAACUGCCAGUGCUGCUGACUGGGGAAUUUACUUCAAGUUUUUCAGGGUGAUGUCUUUUUCUUUAAGCCCCAACUCCUGGAUGGGAUCACAGUGAUCCAGUAUCUGAGGUUUUC